AGCCCACCAGCUAGCUCAAACCCCAUAACUCAACCGCACAUUAUUCAUACCCCCUAACAACCCACAAACCCACCAAACAAACCAUUUUUCCCCCUUAGUACGGGCGACGGAAAAGGACAUAUGAAGCGAUAGCCUUAGUACCGCAAGGGAAAGCUGAAAGAGAAGUGAAACAAAUCAGUUAAGCGCAGAAAAGCAGAGCUUAACCCUCGUACCUUUUGCAUCAUGACUUAGCAAGAAUACAUCAAGCAAAAAGAAUUUUAGUUUGACACCCCGAAACCAGGUGAGCUACUCCGAGACAGCCUCUAAUAGGGCCAACCCGUCUCUGUGGCAAAAGAGUGGGAAGAUCUCCGAGUAGCGGUGACAGACCUAUCGAACCUGGUUAUAGCUGGUUGCCCGGGAAGUGAAUAGAAGUUCAGCCUUUUCUCCUCUCCUCCCACACGCAGGUUAGUAUUAAGCCUCAAAGAGGGUAAAAGAGUUAGUCAAAGGGGGUCCAGCCCCUUUGAAACAGAUACAACUUUCCCAGGAGGGUUAAGAUCAUAGAACCUUAGGGACCCUGUGCUAGUUGGCUUAAAAGCAGCCACCCAUCCAGAAAGCGUUAAAGCUCACACACCCCCCCCCGCCCCUAUUAUUCCGACCAUUUAAUCUCACCCCCCUAACACGCACCGGGCCUUCCCACUUUCGUGGGAGAGACUAUGCUAGAAUGAGUAAUAAGAGACCGAGCCUCUCUCCUCGCACAAGUGUAACUCGGAACGAACUAACCACCGAUAAUUAACGACCUCAAUAAAGAGGGAAUUAGAACAUUAUGACAACCCACAGGGAAACCAUCUAAUACCCCACCGUUAACCUCACACCAGGGUGCCCCUAAGGAAAGACUAAAAGAAAAAGAAGGAACUCGGCA
Molecule: ribosomal RNA, 898 nt
Filed under: Apogon aurolineatus (bridle cardinalfish)
Lineage: Eukaryota; Metazoa; Chordata; Actinopteri; Kurtiformes; Apogonidae
Description: partial 16S ribosomal RNA
Rfam family: Bacterial large subunit ribosomal RNA (bases 189-898)
Source: RNAcentral